RNAcentral lists this small RNA (125 nucleotides) under Marmota monax (woodchuck). The record is from RNAcentral. Lineage: Eukaryota; Metazoa; Chordata; Mammalia; Rodentia; Sciuridae.
GCUGGGUGUAGUGUUGUAUGUCUGUAAUCCCAGAGGCUUGGGAGGCUGAGAUAGGAGGAUCUCGAGUUCAAAGCCAGCCUCAGCAACAGUGAGGUGCUAAGCAACUCAGUGAGAUUCUGUCUCUA